Molecule: non-coding RNA, 1252 nt
Organism: Physcomitrium patens
Lineage: Eukaryota; Viridiplantae; Streptophyta; Bryopsida; Funariales; Funariaceae
Source: RefSeq, a predicted model, not a curated record
GAGGCCUAGGAGACGAUGUCCGUGCUGCUUUGUCGAGGACCAGUUUAUUAGAAGUGUCCCGGGACCAGCAUAGCCGCCAAGCCAUGCCACGCUUCCCUGUUGCAGAAAUGCCUCACAACGCCCCCCCUGUGUACGCGCUCGAUGCGCUCCUCAGGAUGAUGGACGCGAUGUAAGGUUGUGUCGUUGAUACUCGCCGCGCAGUUUUGGACGCAUCUGUUAUGGCUCAUUGUAGUUUCUCAUGUUUUUGUCGCUGGAGUUUAGUAAGAAUUGUUCGUUUGAGUUUGAGUGUUUUUUUUUUUUUUUUUUUUUUUUUUUUCCUUUUGUUUUAUUGGAAGGAGAUGGAGAUGGCCUCUGUCGUAUUCCUGUGUGCCAAAGAGUCUGUACUGAUUCAUUUUCCACAUAUCGUGAUGUUAAGAACCGAUUUUCUCUCAGUAUGUUCGUAAUACGACACGUGAUUUUUGUACGGUUGACAGGCAAUUACUCCACGUUUUCAAAGUGAAGGUUUGGUAGUUAAUGAAGUGGAACAUUUGCCCCAGAAGGAUGUCCAAAUUUCUCGCACGGAUCGCGGCCGGUAUCGGAAUGAGCGUCAAUUCAAGAAUCUCGCAAGUAGUAAUAGUGAGCAUUAACUGCAACUCUCCUCGUUUCAUUUUGGACCUCAUCCAUGCAGCAUGACUGGUGACAGGUUACAAACAGGUGCAUUGUGGAGUAUCGAAAUAGUGGAGAGCACUACAAUGUGAUGAAGCAGUGGGUGGAUGUGUCCACCACAUAGCCUACUGUUGGUGUUACUGACUACCUUCGCAGUUCAGUUUCGGAAACUAAUUUUUUAUUGAUUAAAACCUACGGCUUAUAGAUCAGUACUUGUGGAAGUGAGUAGAGUCCCUUAUUUCAAUUUCUAAUUAUCUACUUUUGAUAUUUUUAUGUCAGUUAAGUAUAUUGAUCAAUUAAGGUAUUUUAUCAGGGAGCUUUCCAUAUCCUGAAUUGUGCACAUGAUAGGAGGGUUCUUUGCUUCAGGAUCGCUGAGUGUUACUCAAGCCUCGAAGUUAAAGUUUGAAUGGUAACGCUUAGUGAUACUUCUCUGAAAAUAGUUGCCUCAAACAAUUGGUUUGUUGAACCUGAAGAAUAGCACGUAUUGGUUUUUAGCCAUCGGUUCAGACCAAAUAAAUAACACAUGUUGUGACGACAUUUUGGCGGUUGUAUUUAUGUAAGCCAUUUAAUCUGGGCAUUUGUAAGACGGAACUUCAAUGUUUUUUCA